RNAcentral lists this transfer RNA (73 nucleotides) under Leptolyngbya sp. UWPOB_LEPTO1. RNAcentral describes it as "tRNA-Phe". It matches the Rfam family "tRNA". From Rfam's summary of the family: Transfer RNA (tRNA) molecules are approximately 80 nucleotides in length. Their secondary structure includes four short double-helical elements and three loops (D, anti-codon, and T loops). The record is from RNAcentral. Lineage: Bacteria; Bacillati; Cyanobacteriota; Cyanophyceae; Leptolyngbyales; Leptolyngbyaceae.
GGGAAUGUAGCUGAGUUGGUUUUAGCAUCAGAUUGAAGCUCUGAGGACGCGGGUUCGAUCCCUGCCAUUCCCA